RNAcentral lists this RNase P RNA (382 nucleotides) under Neobacillus niacini. Its description in RNAcentral is "RNase P RNA component class B". It matches the Rfam family "Bacterial RNase P class B". Rfam says of the family: Ribonuclease P (RNase P) is a ubiquitous endoribonuclease, found in archaea, bacteria and eukarya as well as chloroplasts and mitochondria. Its best characterised activity is the generation of mature 5'-ends of tRNAs by cleaving the 5'-leader elements of precursor-tRNAs. Cellular RNase Ps are ribonucleoproteins. The record is from RNAcentral. Lineage: Bacteria; Bacillati; Bacillota; Bacilli; Caryophanales; Bacillaceae.
AAUGGUGAGUAAUCGCGGCUCAUGUAUAAUGAGUUGAGGAAAGUCCAGGCUCGCCCGGUGCUGAGAUGCCCGGAGUGUUCGUGCCAUCUGCAAAGGUGGGCAGCAGUCUUUACUGCUGACGGCGGGGAAAUGAUGCUACGUCCAUCAUGGAUAUGCUCUUAGUACCCUGAAAGUGCCACAGUGACGAAUUCUUCUGGAAACGGAAGAAAUGGAACGGGUAAACCCCGCGAGCGAGCAACCCAAACUUUGGUAGGGGCACCAUCCUGAGGGAAAUGAACCAAACGGAUGGAUCGGUCAUUUUUGACUGAUAGUCAUAUGAUUACACCUGUUGUGCGAGAUUGGCAUCGUUUGAGCACGAAGGAACAGAACCUGGCUUACAGCC